CCUACGGGGGACAGCAGUGAGGAAUAUUGGUCAAUGGCCGCAGGGCUGAACCAGCCAAGUCGCGUGAGGGAUGACGGUCCAAAGUAUUGUAAACCUCUUUUGUCAGGGAACAAAGACUGCCACGUGUGGCGGGUUGCGAGUACCUGAAGAAAAAGCAUCGGCUAACUCCGUGCCAGCAGCCGCGGUAAUACGGAGGAUGCGAGCGUUAUCCGGAUUUAUUGGGUUUAAAGGGUGCGCAGGCGGAAUGUCAAGUCAGCGGUAAAAUUUCGGGGCUCAACCCCGUCGUGCCGUUGAAACUGGCGGUCUUGAGUGAGCGAGAAGUAUGCGGAAUGCGCGGUGUAGCGGUGAAAUGCAUAGAUAUCGCGCAGAACUCCGAUUGCGAAGGCAGCAUACCGGCGCUCCACUGACGCUCAGGCACGAAAGCGUGGGUAUCGAACAGGAUUAGAUACCCCUGUAGUC
RNAcentral lists this ribosomal RNA (459 nucleotides) under uncultured bacterium. Its description in RNAcentral is "partial 16S ribosomal RNA". It matches the Rfam family "Bacterial small subunit ribosomal RNA", at positions 338 to 795 of the family's 1533-position model. The record is from RNAcentral.